AUCCAACCUUUUGUCAACACACUUAUUUAAUCAAGGCAUUGCGAACAUUGGCAGUAACUAUUUCGGUUCGUAUGGCAUUCAGGGGUACAGCAUCUGAGCAGAAGGGCGACUCAGAAGCUUUGAACCACGUUUCUCAGAAGCCCACGGCGCCAGAGGGACCGGGAUGCUACUUCGUCUAUAAAAGACUUCAUUUCCCAGCAUGCAGUGGGAGUGCCGGCCCACGUCUCCCGGCAUUCCAGGGGAGGCAGCUCGGGCCCUGUUCCGCGGCUUUCCCGCUCGCCCCGCCUCCCCCAUUCGCCCCCGAGCCAAUCGGAAGGCCGUAUACUGCAGGGUGUGACGGAGACGGCGCCGCAGCGGAAUUGCGAGUUGGCGAAAGCGGCGGGAAGUUCGUACUGAGCGGAAGGCGACGGGUCUGAGGCUCAGGUGUCUUGCAGCACAAAAGUUUUUGAUUUUGAUGAGGUCCAACUUAUUGAUACAUGGAUCGUGCUUUUGGUGUCAUGCAUGUCUCAGAACUCUUUGCCUAACCCUAGAGUGAACAUACAUUAGUAACCACGACCCAGAUCAACAC
Molecule: long non-coding RNA, 568 nt
Organism: Hipposideros armiger (great roundleaf bat)
Lineage: Eukaryota; Metazoa; Chordata; Mammalia; Chiroptera; Hipposideridae
Exons: 3
Source: RefSeq, a predicted model, not a curated record